GAUGAACGCUGGCGGCGUGCCUAAUACAUGCAAGUCGAGCGAAGGGGGGACGGGUGAGUAACGCGUGGAUAACCUCCUUUAAGACUGGGAUAACUUCGGGAAACCGGUGCUAAACCUGCUAUUUAUAGAUGGAUCCUCGCUGCAUUAGCUAGUUGGUAAGGUAAUGGCUUACCAAGGCAACGAUGCAUAGCCGACCUGAGAGGGUGAUCGGCCAAACUGGAACUGAGACACGGUCCAGACUCCUACGGGAGGCAGCAGUAGGGAAUCUUCCGCAAUGGGCGAAAGCCUGACGGAGCAACGCCGCGUGAGUGAAGAAGGUUUUCGGAUCGUAAAACUCUGUUAUUAGAGAAGCGGUACCUAAUCAGAAAGCCACGGCUAACUACGUGCCAGCAGCCGCGGUAAUAC
This 405-nucleotide ribosomal RNA is filed under the name uncultured bacterium. RNAcentral's name for it is "partial 16S ribosomal RNA". It matches the Rfam family "Bacterial small subunit ribosomal RNA", at positions 28 to 526 of the family's 1533-position model. The record is from RNAcentral.